UUACGCAGGGGGGAAGGCUCAAACUCAAAUUAAAGGAUUAAUCGGUGUUGAAAUUGCAUAGUCGGGGAAAUAAAUGCUGCACGUCAGACUUCUGGCCACAUUCCAAAUAGUGAGUUCAUGCACUAAACAGGCAAGAGGUGAUAAAACUACCUGCUGUUACAUCAGAGAGGCUGCACGGGAACAGAGGCGUGGUUGCACAACAAUGUUUCUUGUGCACGAGAGGCUUGUUUUUUUAAUUAAGUUUAGGUUGCAUGAAAUUGAAGAGCUGUACAACUCCGUCACGCACGCAUGCGCACGGUUUGAGGCGCUACGCGUCGUGUCUUUGAGGUGACGUGGGUCCGCGUGAGUCAUAUGGGCUCUCCUGAAUGUCGCACGUGUCUGGCUCACCACGAUCAUCCGCGCGAUGUCCUUGCAGUCCUCCACGUUGGCGGCGCGGAUUGAGAAGUCCAUGUUGUGUGGGUCUGGCGGUGAUGAAGAAGAAGAAGAAGACGAUGAUGAUGGUGGUGGUGGUGAUGAUGAUGAUGAUGAGAUGCGGACAACAUGUGCGGCGGUCCUCCGGUUGGUUCCUGUGGAUCCGGACGGAUGUGCGUAACGUGCGCAAAGGACUGUGGAGGUCACCGGCUACACGGAGAGCCGAGCUGAGAGCGCCCUCCCCCAGGAAGGAGGGGACUGUGCAUUUCCUCAGAAACCUACACGCUUCAAAACUAUGCGACCUCAAUUAGUAUAAUUAGUAUAAUUAUUAGAUUAGAUGUCGGUUCAGAUGCUUUGCAGCCUUUUCCAGAGGGAUUCAAACCAUCUGGUUAUUUGUUCUUCACAAUGGAGAUUAACUUUUCUAUAAAGAUUUUUUUUUUCUUCUAAAGCAUUAGUAAACCGUGGUAAAUACACGUAUACGUCAUAUUCAGUUAUUGUGGAUUCUUUACUGUGUUUUAUUUUUUUAUUUCUCUUGUACUUUACCCCCCUUGCUGCUGUACUCCUCUACAUUUACACACUGCGGGACUAGACUAAUAAAGGAAUAUCUUAUCUUA
This is a long non-coding RNA of Cyclopterus lumpus (lumpfish), 1025 nucleotides long. RefSeq lists it as uncharacterized. Lineage: Eukaryota; Metazoa; Chordata; Actinopteri; Perciformes; Cyclopteridae. The transcript is spliced from 2 exons. The record is from RefSeq and is a predicted model, not a curated record.